Molecule: transfer RNA, 65 nt
Filed under: Ectatops sp.
Lineage: Eukaryota; Metazoa; Arthropoda; Insecta; Hemiptera; Pyrrhocoridae
Description: tRNA-Leu
Rfam family: tRNA
About the family: Transfer RNA (tRNA) molecules are approximately 80 nucleotides in length. Their secondary structure includes four short double-helical elements and three loops (D, anti-codon, and T loops).
Source: RNAcentral
UCUAAUAUGGCAGAAUAAUGCAAUGAAUUUAAGAUUCAUAAAUAAAGAUUUAUCUUUUAUUAGAA